ACGGAUGAAGGCGAUUACCAGAUCAAAUUGCGUAAACUUAAAGAGUUUCUGGAAGAGGGCGAUAAGGUUAAAGUCACCCUGCGCUUCAAAGGCCGUGAAAUGGCUCACAAAGAGCUGGGGAUGGAUGUUCUCAAGCGUGUUGAGAAAGAGCUGGAAGAACUGGCGGUUGUCGAGCAAUUCCCGCGUCUGGAAGGCCGUCAAAUGGUCAUGAUGUUGGGCGCGAAGAAAAAAGCCUAAGCAUAAAAAUUGGGGGUAUUCCCCAACACCAUCCUGUUAAGGCAAGGCACUCUUGCAGGAUGUUUUAUCUACCUGAUCGAAAAGGAGACCAAGAUGCCUA
RNAcentral lists this unclassified non-coding RNA (337 nucleotides) under Thiothrix caldifontis. RNAcentral's name for it is "Long range pseudoknot". Lineage: Bacteria; Pseudomonadati; Pseudomonadota; Gammaproteobacteria; Thiotrichales; Thiotrichaceae. The record is from RNAcentral.